CUGUUUCUAGACAGAAUCCAUCCUAUUCAGAUCAGCUUUCGUGGAAUCUGAAGUAAAUUACGUUAAAAUAAACAAAACAGAUUACAAGAAUACUUUGCUACCUUCAAAUUAUUAAUUAUUUCACUAUACUCUCAAAUAUCCUAUUUAGUGUUGAAUUUGUAAUAACAGACAUGGGGAGAUUUUUUAAGGUAUUUGAGAAAUUUUGGGUCAGAACUUAAACGUUUUCACCUGGCAUUAAACUUGGUGUACUAGAUGUUACCAUCACCAUUUGACAUCAGUGUCUAAUUAUCUGUGCUGCCAACUCUACAAGUUUCAUUGUCUUAACCAUAGCUUUCAGAUAUUUCUUAACAAACUAUUCAGUUUGUGCUGAAUAGAAAAGCAUAGUGGCUAAAAUUGGUUAUAUUUUAACCACAUUGAUAUGUGAGACAACUCUAGCUGUCUAAAAUAACUGAAGAAAAUGAAUGUAGAAACGUACUUCCAACAUCUUUCAUUUGAUAUACAAAAGAGGGACAUUAACUUCUGAAGACAUUUCUCAAGUUUUUGUCCUGUAAUGUACCCCUGGAAAGAUAGUUCAACCAUAUAUAUUAUUAAAGUAUUAUGUAACUGAAAGAUGUAUGGGGAUAAUAUCAUCAGUACCUGCCUAUUUGAAUACCUCAUCUGUGGAGCAUAUUUCAACUUAAUAUCUCACUUUUGUGUGGUUGUCAUGUGGCAGUCAAAUGGCAAUAAAUAUCCCAUAAAGCACAUUCUCUACUGGGAUGCCAAGAAAACAGCCAUUAAGACUCUUAUUUGAAAGGAAACUCAUUAAAAUCUCAGCCCCAUUUAGAUUUCAGGUUAUUUUCUGAAACCACUGAGAAGAAAAGCUAGGAUAAUUCUUUAAACAAGCCCAUGCCAGAUAUCAUUUUUUGUACUUGUCAGAUUUGAUAGAGUGCGCCAACUUUUAUGCUGAGGGAAUGUUAGUUUGACCUUCCUUAAUUUGCAUUAGGGGAGUGUGAUUCAUUGAUAAAUAGUGAUUGCUAAUGGCUGUAACUUUUGAAGCAUUGUAAAGGACAAAAGUUGGUUGUGAAAAUGGCUGCAGAAUUUAGACUGACAUUUUGUAGGUAGGUGGUGUUGACUGACGUUUUGUAGGUAGGUGGUGUUGACUGACGUUUUGUAGGUAGGUGGUGUUGACUGACGUUUUGUAGGUAGGUGGUGUUGACUGACGUUUUGUAGGUAGGUGGUGUUGACUGACGUUUUGUAGGUAGGUGGUGUUGACUGACGUUUUGUAGGUAGGUGGUGUUGACUGACGUUUUGUAGGUAGGUGGUGUUGACUGACGUUUUGUAGGUAGGUGGUGUUGACUGACGUUUUGUAGGUAGGUGGUGUUGACUGACGUUUUGUAGGUAGGUGGUGUUGACUGACGUUUUGUAGGUAGGUGGUGUUGACUGAC
Schistocerca gregaria is the source of this 1424-nucleotide long non-coding RNA. RefSeq lists it as uncharacterized. The record is from RefSeq and is a predicted model, not a curated record. The transcript is spliced from 3 exons. NCBI's taxonomy places the organism in Eukaryota, Metazoa, Arthropoda, Insecta, Orthoptera, Acrididae.